This 1304-nucleotide long non-coding RNA is filed under the name Nicotiana tabacum (common tobacco). Its description in RNAcentral is "long non-coding RNA (NTAB_LNC001006)". Lineage: Eukaryota; Viridiplantae; Streptophyta; Magnoliopsida; Solanales; Solanaceae. The record is from RNAcentral.
AGUUUUGCGGAUAUUGGAACGCUUACAACAAUCAAGGUGUUCUAUUGUGAUGAUAAUGUCAAGGCUUCAGCUUUGGAGAUUAAGGAAGAAGUAGAACAACUUCAGGAUGUGACAAUCUCAAGGUCUAUAUUUUUCCACAUUACUCUCGGUAUGUCUUUCUUUUUACUUUUUUAAUUUUUUUCCUGAUAAUUCAAUUUAUGAGUUUAGUUCAUUACGUUAUUGUUGUUAUAACUGCAGAAUAUGUUUAUAUCAUUAUGUUAUGUUACAUUAAUUAUUGUUGUUAAAAAAAUAGGGAACAAAGAGAAUAUGAAGAGGAAGAGAAAGAGGAAGAAGUAGAAGAAGAAGCAGUAGCAGAAGAAAAAGAGAAAGGAGAAGACCAAGCAGCAGCAGAAGUAGAAGAAGAAGCAGUAGCAGAAGAAAAAGAGAAAGGAGAAGACAAAGCAGCAGCAGAAGUAGAAGCAGAAGUAGAAGCAGAAGAAAAAGAGAAGGGAGAAGAAGAAGCAGCGGCAGCGGCAGUCGGUUUCGCCUUUGAUUAGACCCCUACUUUGAUGGAAUAUCAGCUACUAUAUUUAAAGCAAUGGACUGCAAAGACAUUCUUGAAUAUUGCUAAUCUAGUGCUGAAGCUUCCAUGAAGGUUUGUGUACCCCAUCCAUCAUGUCAAUUAUGAUCUUUGAAUCCAUCUCCAGUAUGACAUAGUAUAAGCCCAUAAAAUGAUUGUAUCUCAAGUCAAUUAGUGCAGGCUAGACUUAAUGCCAUGUUGUUAGUGUAGUAGUUGAGCUUUUCUGAGAAGGCAAGCACCAUUGAGCCAUCUUCCCUCUCAUUACGCCUCUCGCUCCUGCUUGCUUCUCUCUCCAUGAAAAGCCUCCAUCUGUAUUGAUAAGCAUGGUGUUCUCAUUACACCAGUAAACUGGAACACCAUAAGUAAUAGGGGAAUAGUGUUUAAAAUGUUUUAUCAAUAGUAACUUGUGUUGAAAAUAAACUGCUAAAUAACUCUAAAUACUGUAGUUUGAGUUUGGCCGUACCUGACAAGCACACUUUCUCUUCCAUAGUUCCUAUGUAACGAAAAUAGGAAGGAUCUUGCAUGAAUUGUUGUACUGAUGCACCCACCAGCUCCAAGAAGGGUUCUAAUCUAGUUAGAAUCCAACCUGAUGCCCAUGGCAUUUGCAAACUAGGUCCACACUCUUAAUUGUCACAUUUUCAAUAAGUGAGAGGUGGUUUCUGAUCGAGGGGACCUACAGCAAGUGCAUUUGGAAAUAAUAUUUUGACUAAAUCUAGAUAAAGUAUCAUCCAAAUGAAAUUUUUUC